This 465-nucleotide ribosomal RNA is filed under the name uncultured bacterium. RNAcentral describes it as "partial 16S ribosomal RNA". It matches the Rfam family "Bacterial small subunit ribosomal RNA", at positions 338 to 795 of the family's 1533-position model. The record is from RNAcentral.
CCUACGGGUGGCAGCAGUGGGGAAUAUUGGGCAAUGGAGGAAACUCUGACCCAGCAACGCCGCGUGAAUGAUGAAGGUCUUCGGAUUGUAAAGUUCUGUCAGCAGGGAAGAACGGUCACUGUGCUAAUCAGCAGUGAAUUGACGGUACCUGCAAAGGAAGCACCGGCUAACUCCGUGCCAGCAGCCGCGGUAAUACGGAGGGUGCGAGCGUUAAUCGGAAUUACUGGGCGUAAAGCGCUCGUAGGCGGUAUGUCAAGUCAAGGGUGAAAUCCCCGCGCUCAACGUGGGAACUGCCUUUGAAACUGGCAAACUGGAGUGUGUGAGAGGAUAGUGGAAUUCCAGGUGUAGGAGUGAAAGCCGUAGAUAUCUGGAGGAACAUCAGUGGCGAAGGCGACUAUCUGGCACAUAACUGACGCUGAGGAGCGAAAGCGUGGGUAGCAAACAGGAUUAGAUACCCUAGUAGUC